RNAcentral lists this ribosomal RNA (253 nucleotides) under uncultured bacterium. RNAcentral describes it as "partial 16S ribosomal RNA". It matches the Rfam family "Bacterial small subunit ribosomal RNA", at positions 524 to 776 of the family's 1533-position model. The record is from RNAcentral.
UACAGAGGUCUCAAGCGUUGUUCGGAUUCAUUGGGCGUAAAGGGUGCGUAGGCGGCGCGGUAAGUCGGGUGUGAAAUCUCGGAGCUUAACUCCGAAACUGCAUUCGAUACUGCCGUGCUUGAGGACUGGAGAGGAGACUGGAAUUUACGGUGUAGCGGUGAAAUGCGUAGAUAUCGUGUGGAACGCCAGUGGUGAAAACAGCUCGCUGGGGGUGCGCUGACACUGAGACACGAAAGCCAGGGGAGCAAACGGG